This 78-nucleotide transfer RNA is filed under the name bacterium. RNAcentral's name for it is "tRNA-Met". It matches the Rfam family "tRNA". From Rfam's summary of the family: Transfer RNA (tRNA) molecules are approximately 80 nucleotides in length. The record is from RNAcentral.
GGCAGGGUAGCUCAGUUUGGUUAGAGCGUAGGACUCAUAAGCCUGAGGUCGUGGGUUCGAUCCCCACCCCUGCUACCA